This 514-nucleotide ribosomal RNA is filed under the name uncultured bacterium. RNAcentral describes it as "partial 16S ribosomal RNA". It matches the Rfam family "Bacterial small subunit ribosomal RNA", at positions 28 to 523 of the family's 1533-position model. The record is from RNAcentral.
GACGAACGCUGGCGGCGUGCCUAAUACAUGCAAGUCGAGCGGACUUUCAAGAAGCUUGCUUUUGAAAGUUAGCGGCGGACGGGUGAGUAACACGUGGGCAACCUGCCUGUAAGACGGGGAUAACUCCGGGAAACCGGGGCUAAUACCGGAUAAUAUCUUUCUUCGCAUGAAGGAAGGUUGAAAGGCGGCGAAAGCUGCCGCUUGCAGAUGGGCCCGCGGGGCAUUAGCUAGUUGGUGAGGUAACGGCUCACCAAGGCGACGAUGCGUAGCCGACCUGAGAGGGUGAUCGGCCACACUGGGACUGAGACACGGCCCAGACUCCUACGGGAGGCAGCAGUAGGGAAUCUUCCGCAAUGGACGAAAGUCUGACGGAGCAACGCCGCGUGAGCGAAGAAGGUCUUCGGAUCGUAAAGCUCUGUUGUCAGGGAAGAACAAGUACCGUUCGAAUAGGGCGGUACCUUGACGGUACCUGACCAGAAAGCCACGGCUAACUACGUGCCAGCCGCCGCAGUAA